AGGAUUGAGAGAAGUUUCCAAGUUGGAGACCCAGUUUACUUGAAAAUGGCUCCUUACAGAUUAGCAGCAUUUGGUUUCAGAGGUGCUUUGAAGUUGCAAAACAAAUAUUAUGGUCCCUUCCUAGUCAUUCAGAAAGUGGGCAAGGCAGCGUACAAAUUGCAGUUACCUAGUGGAGUGCAAAUACAUCCAGUGUUUCAUGUGAGUCAGUUAAAGAAGCACAUUGGGGAGAAGUCUAUACCGGACCCUAAUCUACCACUAGUCAACCAGGAUGGAAUAGUCAAAGUGGGACCAGAGGAAGUUCUAGAAGUUCGCCAAGUUCCUCGACAUAAUCUGCCAGUGGUGCAAUGGCGUAUCAAG
RNAcentral lists this ribosomal RNA (357 nucleotides) under Triticum aestivum (bread wheat). Its description in RNAcentral is "partial small subunit ribosomal RNA". Lineage: Eukaryota; Viridiplantae; Streptophyta; Magnoliopsida; Poales; Poaceae. The record is from RNAcentral.